RNAcentral lists this ribosomal RNA (229 nucleotides) under Staphylococcus epidermidis. RNAcentral's name for it is "partial 23S ribosomal RNA". It matches the Rfam family "Bacterial large subunit ribosomal RNA", at positions 2694 to 2925 of the family's 2925-position model. The record is from RNAcentral. Lineage: Bacteria; Bacillati; Bacillota; Bacilli; Caryophanales; Staphylococcaceae.
GACAUGGACAUACCUCUGGUGUACCAGUUGUCGUGCCAACGGCAUAGCUGGGUAGCUAUGUAUGGACGGGAUAAGUGCUGAAAGCAUCUAAGCAUGAAGCCCCCCUCAAGAUGAGAUUUCCCAACUUCGGUUAUAAGAUCCCUCGAAGAUGACGAGGUUAAUAGGUUCGAGGUGGAAGCGUGGUGACACGUGGAGCUGACGAAUACUAAUCGAUCGAAGACUUAAUCAA